AGUCGAGUAGUUUGGGAAUGCUGCUCUAAAUGGGAGGUAAAUUUCUUCUAAAGCUAAAUACCGGCCAGAGACCGAUAGCGCACAAGUAGAGUGAUCGAAAGAUGAAAAGUACUUUGAAAAGAGGGUUAAAUAGCACGUGAAAUUGUUGAAAGGGAAGCGUUUAUGACCAGACCUUCGUCGGGCGGAUCAUCCGGUGUUCUUCACCGGUGCACUUCGCCCGGCUUAGGCCAGCAUCGGUUUUCGCAGGGGGAUAAAGGUCCCGGGAACGUAGCUCCCUCCGGGGAGUGUUAUAGCCCGAGACGUAAUACCCUUGCGGGGACCGAGG
The sequence is a ribosomal RNA, 325 nucleotides long. It matches the Rfam family "Eukaryotic large subunit ribosomal RNA", at positions 263 to 593 of the family's 3401-position model.